CUUUUACAAUGAAGAGUUUGAUCCUGGCUCAGGAUGAACGCUAGCUACAGGCUUAACACAUGCAAGUCGAGGGGCAGCAUUUUAGUUUGCUUGCAAACUAAAGAUGGCGACCGGCGCACGGGUGAGUAACACGUAUCCAACCUGCCGAUAACUCGGGGAUAGCCUUUCGAAAGAAAGAUUAAUAUCCGAUAGUAUAUUAAAACCGCAUGGUUUUACUAUUAAAGAAUUUCGGUUAUCGAUGGGGAUGCGUUCCAUUAGUUUGUUGGCGGGGUAACGGCCCACCAAGACUACGAUGGAUAGGGGUUCUGAGAGGAAGGUCCCCCACAUUGGAACUGAGACACGGUCCAAACUCCUACGGGAGGCAGCAGUGAGGAAUAUUGGUCAAUGGACGAGAGUCUGAACCAGCCAAGUAGCGUGAAGGAUGACUGCCCUAUGGGUUGUAAACUUCUUUUAUAUGGGAAUAAAGUAUUCCACGUGUGGAAUUUUGUAUGUACCAUAUGAAUAAGGAUCGGCUAACUCCGUGCCAGCAGCCGCGGUAAUACGGAGGAUCCGAGCGUUAUCCGGAUUUAUUGGGUUUAAAGGGAGCGUAGGUGGAUUGUUAAGUCAGUUGUGAAAGUUUGCGGCUCAACCGUAAAAUUGCAGUUGAAACUGGCAGUCUUGAGUACAGUAGAGGUGGGCGGAAUUCGUGGUGUAGCGGUGAAAUGCUUAGAUAUCACGAAGAACUCCGAUUGCGAAGGCAGCUCACUAGACUGCAACUGACACUGAUGCUCGAAAGUGUGGGUAUCAAACAGGAUUAGAUACCCUGGUAGUCCACACAGUAAACGAUGAAUACUCGCUGUUUGCGAUAUACAGUAAGCGGCCAAGCGAAAGCAUUAAGUAUUCCACCUGGGGAGUACGCCGGCAACGGUGAAACUCAAAGGAAUUGACGGGGGCCCGCACAAGCGGAGGAACAUGUGGUUUAAUUCGAUGAUACGCGAGGAACCUUACCCGGGCUUAAAUUGCAUUUGAAUAAUCUGGAAACAGGUUAGCCGCAAGGCAAAUGUGAAGGUGCUGCAUGGUUGUCGUCAGCUCGUGCCGUGAGGUGUCGGCUUAAGUGCCAUAACGAGCGCAACCCUUAUCUUUAGUUACUAACAGGUCAUGCUGAGGACUCUAGAGAGACUGCCGUCGUAAGAUGUGAGGAAGGUGGGGAUGACGUCAAAUCAGCACGGCCCUUACGUCCGGGGCUACACACGUGUUACAAUGGGGGGUACAGAAGGCAGCUACCUGGCGACAGGAUGCUAAUCCCAAAAACCUCUCUCAGUUCGGAUCGAAGUCUGCAACCCGACUUCGUGAAGCUGGAUUCGCUAGUAAUCGCGCAUCAGCCAUGGCGCGGUGAAUACGUUCCCGGGCCUUGUACACACCGCCCGUCAAGCCAUGAAAGCCGGGGGUACCUGAAGUACGUAACCGCAAGGAGCGUCCUAGGGUAAAACUGGUAAUUGGGGCUAAGUCGUAACAAGGUAGCCGUACCGGAAGGUGCGGCUGGAACACCUCCUUUCU
Molecule: ribosomal RNA, 1536 nt
Filed under: Bacteroides xylanisolvens
Lineage: Bacteria; Pseudomonadati; Bacteroidota; Bacteroidia; Bacteroidales; Bacteroidaceae
Description: bacterial SSU rRNA
Rfam family: Bacterial small subunit ribosomal RNA
Source: RNAcentral